Molecule: ribosomal RNA, 486 nt
Filed under: uncultured bacterium
Lineage: Bacteria
Description: bacterial SSU rRNA
Rfam family: Bacterial small subunit ribosomal RNA
Source: RNAcentral
AGAGUUGAUCCUGGCUUAGGACGAACGCUGGCGGCGUGCCUAACACAUGCAAGUCGAACGAAACAUAGUAAUAUGUUUAGUGGCGGACGGGUGAGUAACGCGUGAACAAUCUGCCCUGUACAAAGGAAUAGCCUCGGGAAACCGGGAUUAAAACCAUAUAACACUUUAGUACCGCAUGGUACAGAAGUCAAAUUGAUUAAGAGGUAUAGGAUGAGUUCGCGUCUGAUUAGCUAGUUGGUAAGGUAACGGCUUACCAAGGCGACGAUCAGUAGCCGGCCUGAGAGGGUGAACGGCCACACUGGAACUGAGACACGGUCCAGACUCCUACGGGAGGCAGCAGUGGGGAAUAUUGCACAAUGGAGGAAACUCUGAUGCAGCGACGCCGCGUGAGUGAAGAAGGUCUUCGGAUCGUAAAACUCUGUCCUUGGUGAAGAUAAUGACGGUAGCCAAGGAGGAAGCCCCGGCUAACUACGUGCCAGCCGCCGC